CACCGCCGAACUUCGUCCUUGCGCUCGUU
RNAcentral lists this non-coding RNA (29 nucleotides) under Cricetulus griseus (Chinese hamster). Lineage: Eukaryota; Metazoa; Chordata; Mammalia; Rodentia; Cricetidae. The record is from RNAcentral.